GAUGAACGCUGGCGGCGUGCCUAAUACAUGCAAGUCGAGCGAACGGACGAGAAGCUUGCUUCUCUGAUGUUAGCGGCGGACGGGUGAGUAACACGUGGAUAACCUACCUAUAAGACUGGGAUAACUUCGGGAAACCGUAGCUAAUACCGGAUAAUAUUUUGAACCGCAUGGUUCAAAAGUGAAAGACGGUCUUGCUGUCACUUAUAGAUGGAUCCGCGCUGCAUUAGCUAGUUGGUAAGGUAACGGCUUACCAAGGCAACGAUGCAUAGCCGACCUGAGAGGGGGACCGGCCACACUGGAACUGAGACACGGCCCAGACUCCUACGGGAGGCAGCAGUAGGGAAUCUUCGGCAAUGGGCGAAAGCCUGACGGAGCAACGCCGCGUGAGUGAUGAAGGUCUUCGGAUCGUAAAACUCUGUUAUUAGGGAAGAACAUAUGUGUAAGUAACUGUGCACAUCUUGACGGUACCUAAUCAGAAAGCCACGGCUAACUACGUG
Molecule: ribosomal RNA, 497 nt
Filed under: uncultured bacterium
Lineage: Bacteria
Description: partial 16S ribosomal RNA
Rfam family: Bacterial small subunit ribosomal RNA
Source: RNAcentral